This 302-nucleotide long non-coding RNA is filed under the name Heterocephalus glaber (naked mole-rat). RNAcentral describes it as "lncRNA (ENSHGLG00100033920.1)". Lineage: Eukaryota; Metazoa; Chordata; Mammalia; Rodentia; Bathyergidae. The record is from RNAcentral.
CAUCAUCCUAGGAGACCUGGCCAGCCUUAUCACUUUGUAGGCAUUUGAGAUUCAUGGGUUCUACAGCACACACCCACACAGGGCCCCCAGUCCUAGCUGUCCCAGGAAAUGUGCCACUGACCUGGGCAAAGGAGCAGAGGGCAGGUUAUGGAUUCUAUCUGGAUGUCACCCUCAAGCCCCUUGCACCCAGAGCAUGGACUCCUAUGGAAGGCAAUGCAACAAAAGAUGCUAUCAUAGUUAUUACUUCAGCAUCCGUCAACAGACCUACAUCAUCAUCACAUCCUGGUGCAGUGUAAGGUGAC